RNAcentral lists this ribosomal RNA (446 nucleotides) under uncultured bacterium. RNAcentral's name for it is "SSU rRNA". It matches the Rfam family "Bacterial small subunit ribosomal RNA", at positions 26 to 518 of the family's 1533-position model. The record is from RNAcentral.
AGAACGAACGCUGGCGGCAGGCCUCAAACAUGCAAGUCUAGGGGGUGUAGCAAUACAUCACCGGCGGACGGGUGCGUAACGCGUGGGAAUGUACCUAUUGGUUCGGAACAACUGAGGGAAACUUCAGCUAAUACCGGAUGAGCCCGAAAGGGGAAAGAUUUCUCGCCAAUAGAUCAGCCCGCGUCCGAUUAGCUAGUUGGUGGGGUUAAAGCCUACCAAGGCGACGAUCGGUAGCUGUUCUGAGAGGAAGAUCAGCCACACUGGGACUGAGACACGGCCCAGACUCCUACGGGAGGCAGCAGUUGGGAAUCUUGGACAAUGGGGGAACCCUGAUCCAGCCAUGCCGCGUGAGUGAUGAAGGCCUUCGGGUUGUAAAACUCUUUCGACGGGGACGAUAAUGACGGUACCGUAGAAGAAGCUCCGGCUAACUUCGUGCCAGCAGCCGC